This 894-nucleotide ribosomal RNA is filed under the name uncultured bacterium. Its description in RNAcentral is "bacterial SSU rRNA". It matches the Rfam family "Bacterial small subunit ribosomal RNA", at positions 8 to 916 of the family's 1533-position model. The record is from RNAcentral.
AGAGUUUGAUCAUGGCUCAGGACGAACGCUGGCGGCGUGCUUAACACAUGCAAGUCGAACGAUGAACCACUUCGGUGGGGAUUAGUGGCGAACGGGUGAGUAACACGUGGGCAAUCUGCCCUGCACUCUGGGACAAGCCCUGGAAACGGGGUCUAAUACCGGAUACUGACCCUCGCAGGCAUCUGCGAGGUUCGAAAGCUCCGGCGGUGCAGGAUGAGCCCGCGGCCCAUCAGCUUGUUGGUGAGGUAAUGGCUCACCAAGGCGACGACGGGUAGCCGGCCUGAGAGGGCGACCGGCCACACUGGGACUGAGACACGGCCCAGACUCCUACGGGAGGCAGCAGUGGGGAAUAUUGCACAAUGGGCGAAAGCCUGAUGCAGCGACGCCGCGUGAGGGAUGACGGCCUUCGGGUUGUAAACCUCUUUCAGCAGGGAAGAAGCGAAAGUGACGGUACCUGCAGAAGAAGCGCCGGCUAACUACGUGCCAGCAGCCGCGGUAAUACGUAGGGCGCAAGCGUUGUCCGGAAUUAUUGGGCGUAAAGAGCUCGUAGGCGGCUUGUCGCGUCGGUUGUGAAAGCCCGGGGCUUAACCCCGGGUCUGCAGUCGAUACGGGCAGGCUAGAGUUCGGUAGGGGAGAUCGGAAUUCCUGGUGUAGCGGUGAAAUGCGCAGAUAUCAGGAGGAACACCGGUGGCGAAGGCGGAUCUCUGGGCCGAUACUGACGCUGAGGAGCGAAAGCGUGGGGAGCGAACAGGAUUAGAUACCCUGGUAGUCCACGCCGUAAACGGUGGGCACUAGGUGUGGGCAACAUUCCACGUUGUCCGUGCCGCAGCUAACGCAUUAAGUGCCCCGCCUGGGGAGUACGGCCGCAAGGCUAAAACUCAAAGGAAUUGACGG